GUGUCCAUAACGUUAGGUGAUGUGACUUCCUGUGUGUCUGUCUACUAGGUGUCCAUAACGUUAGGUGAUGUGUGUCUGUCUACUAGGUACCCAUAAUGUUAGGUAAUGUUACUUCCUGUGUGUCUGUCUACUAGGUGUCCAUAACGUUAGGUGAUGUGUGUCUGUCUACUAGGUACCCAUAAUGUUAGGUGAUGUGACUUCCUGUGUGUCUGUCUACUAGGUACCCAUAAUGUUAGGUGAUGUGACUUCCUGUGUGUCUGUCUACUACGUGUCCAUAAUGUUAGGUGAUGUGUGUCUGUCUACUAGGUACCCAUAACGUUAGGUGAUGUGACUUCCUGUGUGUCUGUCUACUAGGUGUCCAUAACGUUAGGUGAUGUGACUUCCUGUGUGUCUGUCUACUAGGUGUCCAUAACGUUAGGUGAUGUGUGUCUGUCUACUAGGUACCCAUAACGUUAGGUGAUGUGACUUCCUGUGUGUCUGUCUACUAGGUGUCCAUAACGUUAGGUGAUGUGACUUCCUGUGUGUCUGUCUACUAGGUACCCAUAAUGUUAGGUGAUGUGACUUCCUGUGUGUCUGUCUACUAGGUACCCAUAAUGUUAGGUGAUGUGACUUCCUGUGUGUCUGUCUACUAG
This 632-nucleotide long non-coding RNA is filed under the name Salmo salar (Atlantic salmon). RNAcentral describes it as "lncRNA (ENSSSAG00000098280.1)". The record is from RNAcentral. Lineage: Eukaryota; Metazoa; Chordata; Actinopteri; Salmoniformes; Salmonidae.